RNAcentral lists this ribosomal RNA (1385 nucleotides) under uncultured Bacillota bacterium. Its description in RNAcentral is "bacterial SSU rRNA". It matches the Rfam family "Bacterial small subunit ribosomal RNA", at positions 55 to 1428 of the family's 1533-position model. Lineage: Bacteria; Bacillati; Bacillota. The record is from RNAcentral.
AAGUUAGUCGAACGGGCUCUUCGGAGCUAGUGGCGAACGGGUGAGGAACACGUAAGAAACCUGCCCCAAAGUCGAGGAUAACUGUUGGAAACGAUAGCUAAUACUGGAUACGACACGAGAUCGCAUGAUUCUUGUGUUAAAAGGCGCUCUUAAGCGCCGCUAUGGGAUGGUCUUGCGCAGCAUUAGCUAGUUGGUAGGGUAACGGCCUAUCCAAGGCGACGAUGCUUAGCUGGUCUGAGAGGACGAACAGCCACACUGGGACUGAGACACGGCCCAGACUCCUACGGGAGGCAGCAGUAGGGAAUUUUCGGCAAUGGUUCAAGCCAUUAACCCGAGCAAUUCAGCCGCGUGAAUGAUGAAGGUCUUCGGAUCGUAAAGUUCUGUUGUUAAGGAAGAACACGCAGAUUAGUAUAAAUGAGUCUGCGCUGACGGUACUUAUACCAGAAAGCUCCGGCUAACUACGUGCCAGCAGCCGCGGUAAUACGUAGGGAGCGAGCGUUAUCCGGAAUUAUUGGGCGUAAAGCGUGCGAUUACGGCGCUUUGUUAAGUCAAAUGUGAAAGCCGUCAGCUUAACUGAGGAUGGUCAUUUGAAACUGGCAGAAUUGAGUACGGCAGAGGUUAGUGGAAUUCAAUGUUUAGCGCCGGAUGCGGGGAUAUCUGAGGAACACCAAGUGGCGAAGGCGGCUAACUGGACCGGAACUGACGCUGGUGCACGAAAGCGUGGGGAGCAAACAUGGAUUAGAUACCCUGGUAGUCCACGCCGUAAACGAUCAGAACUAAGUGUUGGGGUUACCCAGUGCUGAAGCUAACGCAUUAAGUUCUCCGCCUGGGGAGUACGACCGCAAGGUUGAAACUCAAAGGAAUUGACGGGUCUCCGCGCAAGCGGUGGAGCAUGUUGUUUAAUUCGACAAUACGCGAAGAACCUUACCAGGUCUUGACAUCUUCUUGAUCACUAUAGAGAUAUAGUUUCCCUUCGGGGCAAGAAUGACAGGUGGUGCAUGGUUGUCGUCAGCUCGUGUCGUGAGAAUAUUGGGUUAAGUCCCGCAACGAGCGCAACCCCUAUUGAUAGUUGCUAACAUUUAGAUUAGGGACCACUAUCGAGACUGCCAGUGAUAAACUGGAGGAAGGUGGGGAUGACGUCAAAUCAUCAUGCCCCUUAUGACCUGGGCUACAAUACGUGCUACAAUGGCCAGUACAGAGAGUUGCCAAACCGUAAGGUGGAGCUAACCUUCAAAACUGGUCUCAGUUCGGAUUGAAUUCUGCAACUCGACUUCAUGAAGAUAUGGAAUCGCUAGUAAUUGUGGGUCAGAAUACAACGGUGAAUACGUUCUCGGAGAUUUGUCACACCGCCCGUCAUACCAUGAGAGUUUGUAACAUACCCCGAA